UCGCGUUCUCAGGGCGGGGUGAAAUUCCCCACCGGCGGUCACAGCCCGCGAGCGCCUUUCGGGUCAGUCCCGCAAGGGUCAGCAGAUACCGGUGGAAUUCCGGAGCCGACGGUCAAAGUCCGGAUGGAAGAGAACCAGC
Marinovum algicola DG 898 is the source of this 139-nucleotide non-coding RNA. NCBI's taxonomy places the organism in Bacteria, Pseudomonadati, Pseudomonadota, Alphaproteobacteria, Rhodobacterales, Roseobacteraceae. The record is from Rfam.